This 85-nucleotide transfer RNA is filed under the name Felis catus (domestic cat). It matches the Rfam family "tRNA". Rfam says of the family: Transfer RNA (tRNA) molecules are approximately 80 nucleotides in length. The record is from Rfam by way of RNAcentral. Lineage: Eukaryota; Metazoa; Chordata; Mammalia; Carnivora; Felidae.
GCCUGAGUGGCUCAGUCGGUUGGGCGUCUGACUUCAGCUCAGGUCAUGAUCUCGUGGUUUAUGGGUUCGAGCCCCAUGUCGGUCU